UGAGUAACACGUUGGAACCUGCCCCAAAGUGAGGAAUAAGCCACCGAAAGGUGGUCUAAUACUUCAUAAUAUCCAUCUCGUAUGGAUUAAAGCUUUAUGCGCUUUGGAGGGGCCUGCGUAACAUUAGCUUGUUGGUGAGGUAAAAGCUCACCAAGGCUUCGAUGUUUAACUGGUUUGAGAGGAUGACCAGUCACACUGGGACUGAGAUACGGCCCAGACUCCUACGGGAGGCAGCAGUAAGGAAUCUUCCACAAUGGGGCAACCCUGAUGGAGCAAUACCGCGUGCAGGAUGAAGCGUUUCGGCGUGUAAACUGCUUUUAUCACCGAAGAUUAUGACUGUAGGUGAAGAAUAAGGACCGGCUAACUACGUG
RNAcentral lists this ribosomal RNA (371 nucleotides) under uncultured bacterium. RNAcentral describes it as "bacterial SSU rRNA". It matches the Rfam family "Bacterial small subunit ribosomal RNA", at positions 107 to 507 of the family's 1533-position model. The record is from RNAcentral.